UCACCUGGGAACUGCAUUGGUGACUGGCAGGCUAGAGUGCGGCAGAGGGGGGUGGAAUUCCACGUGUAGCGGUGAAAUGCGUAGAGAUGUGGAGGAAUACCGAUGGCGAAGGCAGCCCCCUGGGCCAAUACUGACGCUCAUGCACGAAAGCGUGGGGAGCAAACAGGAUUAGAUACCCUGGUAGUCCACGCCCUAAACGAUGUCAACUAGUUGUUGGGGG
Molecule: ribosomal RNA, 220 nt
Filed under: uncultured bacterium
Lineage: Bacteria
Description: partial 16S ribosomal RNA
Rfam family: Bacterial small subunit ribosomal RNA
Source: RNAcentral